RNAcentral lists this ribosomal RNA (361 nucleotides) under uncultured bacterium. RNAcentral's name for it is "partial 16S ribosomal RNA". It matches the Rfam family "Bacterial small subunit ribosomal RNA", at positions 338 to 696 of the family's 1533-position model. The record is from RNAcentral.
CCUACGGGUGGCAGCAGUGAGGAAUAUUGGUCAAUGGGCGCGAGCCUGAACCAGCCAAGUAGCGUGAAGGAUGACUGCCCUACGGGUUGUAAACUUCUUUUAUAAAGGAAUAAAGUGAGGCACGUGUGCCUUUUUGUAUGUACUUUAUGAAUAAGGAUCGGCGAACUCCGUGCCAGCAGCCGCGGUAAUACGGAGGAUCCGAGCGUUAUCCGGAGUUAUUGGGUUUAAAGGGAGCGUAGAUGGGUUGUUAAGUCAGUUGUGAAAUUUGGCGGCUCAACCGUAAAAUUGUAUUUGAUACGGGUAGUAUGGAGGAUGGGAGAGGUAGGCGGAAUUCGGGGUGGAGGGGUAAAAUGCGUAGAGA